CUGCAGCUAGCACCAUUGAACACGCAUUGGGUGUUAUCACUUAACGUCUCCUGGCCGAAUCUUUUCCUACUGGGGCCAUAUGGAGGCUGGAAGAGGUUCUGCAGCAGCUAAUUCUGGCAUCCAUGUCGAUUGGGGAGACCGAAUUGGAAGCAAAACUUGAGGAGGCAGUCAGCAAGAUCAAGAGGCAAUAGUAUUCGCUGCAUCUUUGUACUUGUAACAUGUCUUGAUGGCGUCAUGAUUCCGUAAGAGCUCCAAAGAGAAUAGAGAAAUUAAAUCUCAGUUAUUUUGUUCCAAGUGUUCUUCGCCUGAUGGAGAUGUCUGGUGGAAACACGGAACAAUGAUAUGGCAGGCAAAAUUUUGUUAGUGUUGUGUUAACCAUGUAGGGCAUGUUUGGAAUACAAUAUGUUAGAAUUUGCAGGAACCUUUACAGCUAUACCAGAAAUUCUGAAGAACCACAAGAAUCGAUGUGGCUUGUACAAGUAAAUUAGUUAGGAAUAUUCCAUGUGAUCCUAUAUGCUGCUCUUUGUCUCUGUAUUAUUGUCUCUGCAAUCGACUA
Panicum virgatum (switchgrass) is the source of this 556-nucleotide long non-coding RNA. RefSeq lists it as uncharacterized. The transcript is spliced from 2 exons. The record is from RefSeq and is a predicted model, not a curated record. Lineage: Eukaryota; Viridiplantae; Streptophyta; Magnoliopsida; Poales; Poaceae.